Molecule: unclassified non-coding RNA, 253 nt
Filed under: [Chrysosporium] lobatum
Lineage: Eukaryota; Fungi; Ascomycota; Eurotiomycetes; Onygenales; Onygenaceae
Description: Chrysosporium lobatum partial internal transcribed spacer region
Rfam family: Eukaryotic small subunit ribosomal RNA (bases 1-46)
Source: RNAcentral
AAGUCGUAACAAGGUUUCCGUAGGUGAACCUGCGGAAGGAUCAUUACCGUGCCGGGGGCCCUUCGGGGUCCCAUUGUGCCACCCGUGUUUACUUGUACCUGUUGCUUCGGCGGGCCUGCGGGCCUCGCUCGCUGCCGGGGGACCCAGUCCCCGGGCGCGUGCCCGCCGGAGACACCCCAAACUUCUCUAACGGAUACGUCUGAGCAAAUGAUCUAAUCAUUAAAACUUUCAACAACGGAUCUCUUGGUUCCCA